This 500-nucleotide ribosomal RNA is filed under the name uncultured bacterium. RNAcentral's name for it is "partial 16S ribosomal RNA". It matches the Rfam family "Bacterial small subunit ribosomal RNA", at positions 28 to 523 of the family's 1533-position model. The record is from RNAcentral.
GACGAACGCUGGCGGCAGGCCUAACACAUGCAAGUCGAGCGGUUGACGGGAGCUUGCUCCCUGAUUCAGCGGCGGACGGGUGAGUAAUGCCUAGGAAUCUGCCUAUUAGUGGGGGACAACGUUUCGAAAGGAACGCUAAUACCGCAUACGUCCUACGGGAGAAAACAGGGGACCUUCGGGCCUUGCGCUAAUAGAUGAGCCUAGGUCGGAUUAGCUUGUUGGUGAGGUAAUGGCUCACCAAGGCGACGAUCCGUAACUGGUCUGAGAGGAUGAUCAGUCACACUGGAACUGAGACACGGUCCAGACUCCUACGGGAGGCAGCAGUGGGGAAUAUUGGACAAUGGGCGAAAGCCUGAUCCAGCCAUGCCGCGUGUGUGAAGAAGGUCUUCGGAUUGUAAAGCACUUUAAGUUGGGAGGAAGGGUUGUAGAUUAAUACUCUGCAAUUUUGACGUUACCGACAGAAUAAGCACCGGCUAACUCUGUGCCAGCCGCCGCGGUAA